UACGUAGGGUGCAAGCGUUGUCCGGAAUUAUUGGGCGUAAAGAGCUCGUAGGCGGUUUGUUGCGUCGGCUGUGAAAUCCCGAGGCUCAACCUCGGGUCUGCAGUCGAUACGAGCAAACUAGAGUGUUGCAGGGGAGACUGGAAUUCCUGGUGUAGCGGUGAAAUGCGCAGAUAUCAGGAGGAACACCGGUGGCGAAGGCGGGUCUCUGGGCCGAUAUUGACGCUGAGGAGCGAAAGCGUGGGGAGCAAACAGG
This 253-nucleotide ribosomal RNA is filed under the name uncultured bacterium. RNAcentral describes it as "partial 16S ribosomal RNA". It matches the Rfam family "Bacterial small subunit ribosomal RNA", at positions 524 to 776 of the family's 1533-position model. The record is from RNAcentral.